UAGGGAAUCUUCCGCAAUGGGCGAAAGCCUGACGGAGCAACGCCGCGUGAGUGAUGAAGGUCUUCGGAUCGUAAAACUCUAUUAUUAGGGAAGAACAUAUGUGUAAGUAACUGUGCACAUCUUGACGGUACCUAAUCAGAAAGCCACGGCUAACUACGUGCCAGCAGCCGCGGUAAUACGUAGGUGGCAAGCGUUAUCCGGAAUUAUUGGGCGUAAAGCGCGCGUAGGCGGUUUUUUAAGUCUGAUGUGAAAGCCCACGGCUCAACCGUGGAGGGUCAUUGGAAACUGGAAAACUUGAGUGCAGAAGAGGAAAGUGGAAUUCCAUGUGUAGCGGUGAAAUGCGCAGAGAUAUGGAGGAACACCAGUGGCGAAGGCGACUUUCUGGUCUGUAACUGACGCUGAUGUGCGAAAGCGUGGGGAUCAAACAGGAUUAGAUACCCUGGUAGUCCACGCCGUAAACGAUGAGUGCUAAGUGUUAGGGGGUUUCCGCCCCUUAGUGCUGCAGCUAACGCAUUAAGCACUCCGCCUGGGGAGUACGACCGCAAGGUUG
Molecule: ribosomal RNA, 550 nt
Filed under: uncultured bacterium
Lineage: Bacteria
Description: bacterial SSU rRNA
Rfam family: Bacterial small subunit ribosomal RNA
Source: RNAcentral